Non-coding RNA from Stegodyphus mimosarum, 73 nucleotides. NCBI's taxonomy places the organism in Eukaryota, Metazoa, Arthropoda, Arachnida, Araneae, Eresidae. The record is from Rfam.
GCCUUCGUGGUGUAAUGGUCAGCACACUGAGCCGGUAUUUCAGAGGUCCGCGGUUCGAUUCCCGGCGAAGGCG